Molecule: ribosomal RNA, 697 nt
Filed under: Rostraureum tropicale
Lineage: Eukaryota; Fungi; Ascomycota; Sordariomycetes; Diaporthales; Cryphonectriaceae
Description: partial large subunit ribosomal RNA
Rfam family: Eukaryotic large subunit ribosomal RNA
Source: RNAcentral
AACAGGGAUUGCCCUAGUACGGCGAGUGAAGCGGCAACAGCUCAAAUUUGAAAUCUGGCUUCGGCCCGAGUUGUAAUUUGCAGAGGAUGUUUCUGGCGCGGUGCCUUCCGAGUUCCCUGGAACGGGACGCCACAGAGGGUGAGAGCCCCGUAUGGUUGGACACCAAGCCUGUGUGAAGCUCCUUCGACGAGUCGAGUAGUUUGGGAAUGCUGCUCAAAAUGGGAGGUAAAUCUCUUCUAAAGCUAAAUACCGGCCAGAGACCGAUAGCGCACAAGUAGAGUGAUCGAAAGAUGAAAAGCACCUUGAAAAGGGGGUUAAACAGUACGUGAAAUUGUUGAAAGGGAAGCGCUUGUGACCAGACUUGCGCCGGGCGGCUCAUCCGGGGUUCUCCCCGGUGCACUCCGCCCGGUUCAGGCCAGCAUCGGUUCUCGUUGGGGGAUAAGAACGGCAGGAACGUGGCCCUCCUUCGGGAGGGUGUUAUAGCCUGCCGUACGAUACCCUGAUGGGGACCGAGGUUCGCGCUCCGCAAGGAUGCUGGCGUAAUGGUCAUCAGCGACCCGUCUUGAAACACGGACCAAGGAGUCGUCCAUUAGAGCGAGCGUUUGGGUGUCAAACCCGCACGCGUAAUGAAAGUGAAAUUAGGUGAGAGCUUCGGCGCAUCAUCGACCGAUCCUGAUGUUCUCGGAUGGAUUUGAGU